AACUUAUUUGAUUUGCGUUUUAAUAUCAUUAUUUAUUCUACUGUAGUAUUAACAAAAGAAAGGAAUAAUCAGUAAUCAGCCUCCUGUGCCUGACGCACGUGGUCGACUUUUUGGGGAAUGUUCAAUGCGCACAUAAAAAGAAAGUCCUAUUGAUGCGCAGCCGGGCAUCGAACCUACCACCUCAGGGAUGAGAGUCGCACGCGGAAGACACUAAGCCAUCACAGCUCAUUGAAAUUACGUAGCUCUCGUUAUUAUAUUUUGGGUAAAUUCUGCCGAGCCACUACUUUAUCGAUUUCUUAUCAAGGUAAUGGAGUCCUCAUAAUAUAAUUCUGAUUAUAUUAAGGCGUACUAAGCCACAAGCUUAAAAAAAAUUAAUCUAAAUGUUAUAAAUAAAAUAAGAAAUAUA
Pieris brassicae (large cabbage white) is the source of this 406-nucleotide long non-coding RNA. RefSeq lists it as uncharacterized. Lineage: Eukaryota; Metazoa; Arthropoda; Insecta; Lepidoptera; Pieridae. The transcript has 2 exons. The record is from RefSeq and is a predicted model, not a curated record.